RNAcentral lists this ribosomal RNA (484 nucleotides) under uncultured bacterium. RNAcentral describes it as "bacterial SSU rRNA". It matches the Rfam family "Bacterial small subunit ribosomal RNA", at positions 15 to 518 of the family's 1533-position model. The record is from RNAcentral.
GAUUAUGGCUCAGGACGAACGCUGGCGGCGUGCUUCAUACAUGCAAGUCGAACGAGAAUUCACCUUCGGGUGGAAGAAAGUGGCGGACGGGUGAGUAAUGUGUAGAGAAUCUGCCCUAGAGUGGGGGACAACAGUUGGAAACGGCUGCUAAUACCGCAUAUGCGCGUAGCUGAGAUGCUAUUCGUGAAAACUCCGGUGCUCUGGGAUGAGUCUGCAUCUGAUUAGCUAGUUGGGGGUGUAAUGGACCACCAAGGCGACGAUCAGUAGCUGGUUUGAGAGGAUGAUCAGCCACAAUGGGACUGAGACACGGCCCAUACUCCUACGGGAGGCAGCAGUAGGGAAUUUUGCGCAAUGGGGGGAACCCUGAACCGCAGCAACGCCGCGUGAUUGAAUAAGCCCUUCGGGGUGUAAAGAUCUGUCAGUGGGGACGAAACUUGACGGUACCCACAGAGGAAGCAUCGGCUAACUCCGUGCCAGCCGCGGC